RNAcentral lists this transfer RNA (74 nucleotides) under Ignavibacteriota bacterium. Its description in RNAcentral is "Ignavibacteriae bacterium tRNA-Val". It matches the Rfam family "tRNA". Rfam says of the family: Transfer RNA (tRNA) molecules are approximately 80 nucleotides in length. Their secondary structure includes four short double-helical elements and three loops (D, anti-codon, and T loops). Lineage: Bacteria; Pseudomonadati; Ignavibacteriota. The record is from RNAcentral.
GGGCGAUUGGCGCAGAUGGUUAGCGCGCCACGUUGACAUCGUGGAGGUCAUAGGUUCGAUUCCUAUAUCGCCCA